UCCCUUGUAGCUCAGUCGGUAAAGAAUUUGCCUGCAGUGCAGGGGACCCAGGUUCGAUCCCUGGGUUGGGAA
Molecule: transfer RNA, 72 nt
Filed under: Bos taurus (domestic cattle)
Lineage: Eukaryota; Metazoa; Chordata; Mammalia; Artiodactyla; Bovidae
Also listed under: 4 other names
Rfam family: tRNA
About the family: Transfer RNA (tRNA) molecules are approximately 80 nucleotides in length.
Source: Rfam by way of RNAcentral